This 254-nucleotide ribosomal RNA is filed under the name uncultured bacterium. RNAcentral's name for it is "partial 16S ribosomal RNA". It matches the Rfam family "Bacterial small subunit ribosomal RNA", at positions 524 to 776 of the family's 1533-position model. The record is from RNAcentral.
UACGGGGGGAGCAAGCGUUGUUCGGAUUUACUGGGCGUAAAGGGCGCGUAGGCGGCCACCGCAAGUCGGUUGUGAAAUCUCUGGGCUUAACCCAGAAAGGUCAACCGAUACUGCGGGGCUAGAGUGCAGAAGGGGCAACUGGAAUUCUCGGUGUAGCGGUGAAAUGCGUAGAUAUCAAGUAGAACACCAGUGGCGAAGGCGAGUCCCUGGAAAACUCCUGACACUGAGGCACGAAAGCUAGGGGAGCAAACAGG